UGGGGAAUAUUGCGCAAUGGGCGAAAGCCUGACGCAGCGACGCCGCGUGAGGGAUGAAGGUUUUCGGAUCGUAAACCUCUGUCAGAAGGGAAGAAACCGCACUGUGCUAAUCAGCAGUGCCUUGACGGUACCUUCAAAGGAAGCACCGGCUAACUCCGUGCCAGCAGCCGCGGUAAUACGGAGGGUGCAUGCGUUAAUCGGAAUUACUGGGCGUAAAGCGCACGUAGGCUGCUUUGUAAGUCAGGGGUGAAAUCCCACGGCUCAACCGUGGAACUGCCUUUGAUACUGCUUAGCUUGAAUCCGGGAGAGGGUGGCGGAAUUCCAGGUGUAGGAGUGAAAUCCGUAGAUAUCUGGAGGAACAACAGUGGCGAAGGCGGCCACCUGGACCGGUAUUGACGCUGAGGUGCGAAAGCGUGGGGAGCAAACAGG
This 429-nucleotide ribosomal RNA is filed under the name Fusobacteriota bacterium. Its description in RNAcentral is "Fusobacteria bacterium partial 16S ribosomal RNA". It matches the Rfam family "Bacterial small subunit ribosomal RNA", at positions 355 to 776 of the family's 1533-position model. Lineage: Bacteria; Fusobacteriati; Fusobacteriota. The record is from RNAcentral.